Molecule: ribosomal RNA, 409 nt
Filed under: uncultured bacterium
Lineage: Bacteria
Description: bacterial SSU rRNA
Rfam family: Bacterial small subunit ribosomal RNA
Source: RNAcentral
CAGCCGCCGCGGUAAUUCGGGGGAUGCAAGUGUUAUCCGGAAUUACUGGGCGUAAAGCGUCUGUAGGUUGUUUAAUAAGUCAACUGUUAAAUCUUGAGGCUUAACCUCAAAACAGCAGUCGAAACUAUUAGACUAGAGUAUAGUAGGGGUAAAGGGAAUUUCCAGUGGAGCGGUGAAAUGCGUAGAUAUUGGAAAGAACACCGAUGGCGAAAGCACUUUACUGGGCUAUUACUAACACUCAGAGACGAAAGCUAGGGUAGCAAAUGGGAUUAGAUACCCCAGUAGUCCUAGCUAUAAACAAUGGAUACUAGAUGUUGAACAGAUCGACCUGUGCAGUAUUAAAGCUAACGCGUUAAGUAUCCCGCCUGGGAAGUAUGCUCGCAAGGGUGAAACUCAAAGGAAUUGACGG